RNAcentral lists this ribosomal RNA (468 nucleotides) under uncultured bacterium. RNAcentral's name for it is "partial 16S ribosomal RNA". It matches the Rfam family "Bacterial small subunit ribosomal RNA", at positions 28 to 507 of the family's 1533-position model. The record is from RNAcentral.
GACGAACGCUGGCGGCGUGCUUAACACAUGCAAGUCGAACGGAAAGGCCCUGCUUUUGUGGGGUGCUCGAGUGGCGAACGGGUGAGUAACACGUGAGUAACCUGCCCUUGACUUUGGGAUAACUUCAGGAAACUGGGGCUAAUACCGGAUAGGAACUCCUGCUGCAUGGUGGGGGUUGGAAAGUUUCGGCGGUUGGGGAUGGACUCGCGGCUUAUCAGCUUGUUGGUGGGGUAGUGGCUUACCAAGGCUUUGACGGGUAGCCGGCCUGAGAGGGUGACCGGCCACAUUGGGACUGAGAUACGGCCCAGACUCCUACGGGAGGCAGCAGUGGGGAAUAUUGCACAAUGGGCGGAAGCCUGGUGCAGCAACGCCGCGUGCGGGAUGACGGCCUUCGGGUUGUAAACCGCUUUCGCCUGUGACGAAGCGUGAGUGACGGUAAUGGGUAAAGAAGCACCGGCUAACUACGUG